GAGAAUUUCAACUGAAAGGAGAAAACCAUGAAAAUGGACAAAAUCUGGGGGAAUCCUUUGUUGGGAGGUGUUAGCUGGCCUUGAUUCUUUCUUGUCUGGAAUUCCUGUGUUUUUUAAAUGUUGUUCCUUAUUUCCUGUCCUAAUUCUGUCCUGAUUUUAGCCAGAUUUUGUUCGUUUUCAUGGUUUCCUCAUGAAUACCAUUUUCCUGCUUCUUGAAAGGUGGUUGGAUUGGAUCAGUGGUUCCCAAAGUUAUUUGGCCUGCCGCCCCCUUUCCAGAAAAAAUAUGACUCAGCACACCCUGGAAAGAGGGGAGUGGCUUAGAGGGGUGGGCGUGGCUCCUGCUCAAGAGGGCGGGACUGAGCCUCUCCCCUAGACCCAGAUUCAGUGCUGGGAGGGGGAGGGGGAGGUGGGCGGGGCCACAAAUGGGCGGCCAGGACUGGAAUGGGCGGAGUUACGAGUUCUGAGGCAGGGCUGAGCUUCUAUCCCUGUCUUGCGGUGCCUGCCAGGACACAGGGGGCAGGGCUAGAGGAGGGGGCGGGCCUCUUCCCAAGUGCCUGAUGGGGCUGAACCUCUAUACCCCACCCCUGUGUUCUAACAAGAGCCUCAGGAGAGGUAUAGAGGCUCAGCCCUGUCUCAUGCUCUUGGAAAGAGGCCACGCCCCCACCCCUAGCACCGCCCUUUAGUCCUAAAAGGCCUCUCAGGAGAGGUAUAGAGGCUCAGCCCUGUCUCAGGCUCUUGGAAGGAGGCCCCGCCCCCUUCCCUAGCUCCACCCUCUGUGUCCCAACAAGCGCCUCAGGAGAGGUAUAGAUGCUCAGCCCUGUCUCGGGCUGUUGGGAAGAAGCCACGCCCACUCCUCUAGCUCCACCCCCUGUGUCCUAACAGGUGCCUCAGGUGCUCAGCCCUGUCUCCGGCACUUGGGAAGAGGCCCCGCCCUUCCCCUGGCCCCGCCCCCGUAUCCUAAUAGGUGCCAUCACCGCCCCCCUGGAUCUCUGCAGCACCCACUAGGGGGCAGUAGUGCCCACUUUGGGAAUCACUGGACUGGAUGGCCCACGAGGUCUCUUCCAACUCUAUGAUUCUAUCAGUUGGAAGGGCUUGGGCUGUGUCUUCCUGCAUAGCAGAGGGUUGUACAGGAUGGUCCUGGGGGUCUCUUCCAAAUCUAGGAUUCUGUAACCACGUUUCUGAUAUGGGAGCCACCAUCCAUCAUAGAAGAGUGGCAUCAUGCUUCUCCUGCCCUGAUCUAGUUGGGGGCAAACUCCUUCACUCGCUUGCAUCCUGGUUCACUAUAUCUUGGUCCAAGAACUCCAUUGUAUCUUGUGUAGACAAAUUUAGCUCACACCAGCUGGUACAGUAUGUGAAUCCCCUAGAACCGCAUCCAAAGCAACCAAUGAGCCAAAUGCACAAGGCUGUUAAUAAUCAGAUCAUAAGCAUAAGUCACACAGUUCAUCAACGUGAAGCGACACGAGAUAAAACCAUCUUUCUCUGGUGCUCUCGAGUUCUCUCCGCAACAUGCUUUUUCUUUCGGAUACAUGUUCACAUUCCAAACAACCAAAAGAUAUAUAUAUAUAUAAAUAUAUAAAAUUCAGCAAGAGACAGAGGCAAUGUCAGAAACCAACAUGAGAUGAGAUGGUCGAGGCGGAUGGCAGGAGAGAGAACGAGAGACUGAGAGUGAUGAUGAAAAGAGAGAAAAAGAGAAAGAGAGAUGGAAGCAGGUUUCGGAGGAGGAGGAGAAGAACUUUGAAACUCAUUUGUUGAAAGAAACAUAAAACCAUACCUUGGCUGUUUAGCGUCAGGUGAGCCGGACCUUGAAGGGGAAGGAAAGGAAAAAAGAAAGAAAGAAAAAAGACGAGUCAUAUAAACGCACGGAAAAAAGGAGGGUUUUCCCCUCUAUGCCACAAUUUAAAAGCUUUUUUUAACUUGUGACAGACAUCCGGGUCCCCCAGCAGAUAGAGAGGGGAAGGGAGUUGAGGGUCGGAUGCCGAAACAAACAGAAAGGAGAGGAGAAGAAACUGAAAAUCCCGGACAGAGCCAGACAGAACCAAAACAAGAACAAGAGAGGGGAACAGGCUAGAACAGAAAAACAAAUUAAAGUUGGGUUUCUUUUACGGUUUAAAAAAAAAAAAGCAUUUUGGGCAAAUGGCCACAUUGCCCAGUGGGAGAAAAUGCUUUUUUUUUCAGGAGAAAAACAACAAAAAUGGGUGGGGGGUGGGUGGGAGAGAACUACACAAACCAAGCAGCCUUGAGGGGCGAGUGUUGUGUUUGCAGCCGUGAGCGAAAACAGCUCCAGGAAGGAAGAUUGUUAGUGGUGCGAAAAAAUGGUUUGCAGGACUCUCCUGGUGGAAUACUUUUUGGGAAGGUGUCAGUGUAGUAGGCCAGGGAGGGAGAGCCCAGCUGUCCAUGGGACCGGAGGAACAUUUCCACCCUUCCCAUCAAACCAACCAACAUCUCUCACCCACGAACCAGCAAUGAUAAUACAUUCUGGAUGAACACCAUGUUAUAUCCCUUUACCACAGAAAUAUUGUGUAAGCCCCAAAAACUGACCUACCACCACCUUGGAUGGGGGAUUGUACAGCCAGAGCCAUCGGGUAGGAGACUUGGGAUCAAUAAGAACGCGGAAAUUUGGUGUGCCCAAAGCCAGUUUCUCAGUCCAUCAAUUUCAGUGCUGUGACAGAGGUCUCCCAUGGGCUUUAUUGUGAAAUUCCAAGACCUUUUGCAUGCUAGACAUUUGUAACUGCCACUCAACUAGAACUUUACUCCCACCCAUAAAAAAGCUGGUUUGAAUUGGAGCAGAGAAACUGGCAGUCGGGUUCUCCACGGUAUCAGGUAAGCCAAACCUAGAGAUGUCAGGCAUCAAACCUGGGAACUUGUAUAUGCAAAGCAGAUAUUCUGGACUGAGAUGCAUCUCCUAAUUUAUAGCAGCACAUUAACAUGCUUUAUUUGACCUGUUCGGCAGUAAUGGUGUAAGUGCCAUUGAUCACAUGUAAGUGCAAUUGACCACAUCCCUUUAUUGUGCACCACCACUACCAGUUUGAAGCCCAGGAGAACAAUUCCCAAAUAGAAAAUGACAUUGACCCUCCCUGUUGAAAAAUGGCCUCUCAUGAACCUGAAAUGACCUAGAAGGUGCUCAAAAUAUAGCCCAAUUCACCACCAAUUCCACUACGUUAUGUUGUAGGCAAGCGUCAACCUGAAUGUGGCCUCCAACCACCAAUCCUUGACCACUUUGAUCUUUCCUAGCUCUUCUUGGAGCUCUGUGAUCUUGGCCUCGGGAUCUCAUGAUUGCUCUACAAUGGAGCUAGGUCUAACUCCCCACUACCCAAAUAGAAAAUGACAUUGACUCUCCCUAUUGACAAAUGGUUUCUCUUGGACCUAAAAUGACCUAGAAGGUGCUCAAAAUAUAGCCCAAUUCACCACCAAGUCCACUAUGUUAUGUUGUAGGCAAGCGUCAACCUGAAUGUGGUCUCCAACCACCAAUCCUUGACCACUUUGAUCUUUCCUAGCUCUUCUUGGAGCUCUCUGAAGUGAAACCUGGGAUCUUGGCCUCAAAAUAUAGCCCAAUUCACCACCAAGUCCACUAUGUUAUGUUGGAAGCAAGCGUCAAUCUGAAUGUGGCCUCCAACCACCAAUCCUUGACCACUUUGAUGUUUCCUAACUCUUCUUGGAGCUGUGUGAUCUUGGCCUCGGGAUCUCAUGAUUGCUCUACAAUGGAGCUAGGUCCAACUCCCCACUACCCAAAUAGAAAAUGACAUUGACCCUCCCUAUUGACAAAUGGCCUUUCAUGGGCCUAAAAUGACCUAGAAGGUGCUCAAAAUAUAGCCCAAUUCACCACCAUGUUAUGUUGGAGGCAAGCGUCAACCUGAAUGUGGCCUCCAACCACCAAUCCUUGACCACUUUGAUCUUUCCUAGCUCUUCUUGGAGCUCUCUGAAGUGAAACCUGGAAUCUUGACCUCAAAAUAUAGCCCAAUUCACCACCAUGUCCACUAUGUUGGAGGCAAGCAUCAACCUGAAUGUGGCCUCCAACCACCAAUCCUUGAGCACUUUGAUCUUUCCUAGCUCUUCUUGGAGUUCUCUGAAGUGAAACCUGGGAUCUUGGCCUCAAAAUAUAGCCCAAUUCACCACCAUGUCCACUAUGUUAUGUUGGAAGUGAGCAUCAACCUGAAUGUGGCCUCCAACCACCAAUCCUUGACCACUUUGAUCUUUCCUAGCUCUUCUUGGAGCUCUGUGAUCUUGGCCUCGGGAUCUCAUGAUUGUUCUACAAUGGAGCUAGGUCUAAUUCCCCACUUCCCUAAAAGAAAAGAAAAAGAUCCCCAUACUCAUCAAUCCGAACAAAGAGUAGACAUUUUGCAAGCAAAGUACAUACUACAUCCUUUGGCUACCACAAAAUAGAUGAGCACGUCUUGAGUGGUUGCGUCAUGCUAAUGUUCAUCUUCCUCUAUUAUUCUGCAUUAGUCACAAGACAACAUCAGAUCACAAACACAUUUUGCAUCACUUAAUUCCAUGCUCACCUCCUCCAUUCCUAUUCUUGAACGAUUCGAAUACAUUAGAAUUCUUACUUUAUUGCCAUGGGGAACCCAUUACUUGAAAAUGCGGGAUAUGAAUUUAAUCAGUAAAUAAAGUAAAUAAAUAAGCAUGCGUUGACACGCUAUGGAUGUUUCUCAAAUACAAGACAGACAGCGAGGUUAACACUGGCCACUCAUCUGGUCACCUGUGGUGAGUAAGCCUUCGCCUCCGGGCGAAUGUCUUCCAGUGACUAAUACUGAUAUAUGCGCAGAAGGACACAUAUUAUCGUGAGCUGGUAAUUUCUGAAGAUUUCUUUGCAAGACUAGACUGAAGGUUGCUAAAGGGCAAACAGUUAUGGUCAGACUUUGUCUAGCAAUCUCAUUUUGUUCACUGGCAUUGAUACAGCAAAGUGCCGAGUUCGAUUUGCACCAGUCUGCGCACCCAUGCCCAGGAACUCGUUAUUUCAGGCCCAUUGGUUGUGGGUUCAAUGGUUGCGUUAUACUCUGUUAUCAUGUUAAUUUUAUUCUGUUUUAUGUAUCACAGUGUGUUAUUUUAAUUACCGUAUAUACUCGAGUAUAAGCCGACCCGAAUAUAAGCCAAGGCACCUAAUUUGACCACAAAAAACAGGGAUAACUUGUUGACUCGAGUAUAAGCCAAAGGUGGGAAAUGCAGCAGCUAAUAAUACAUUUCAAAAUAAAAAUAGAUACCAAUAAAAUUACAUUACCGUAUAUACUCGAGUAUAAGCCGAGACAGCUAAUUUUACCACAAAAAAACUGGGAUAACUUAUUGACUCGAGUAUAAGCCAAAGGUGGGAAAUGCAACAGCUAAUAAUAAAUUUCAAAAUAAAAAUAGAUACCAAUAAAAUUACAUUACUGUAUAUACUCGAGUAUAAGCCGACCCGAAUAUAAGCUGAGGCACCUAAUUUGACCACAAAAAACUGAGAUAACUUAUUGACUUGAGUGUAAGCCAAAGGUGGGAAAUGCAGCUGCUAAUAAUAAAUUUCAAAAUAAAAAUAGAUACCAAUAAAAUUACAUUAAUUGAAGCAUCAGUAGGUUAAAUGUUUUUGAAUAUUUAACGUAUUUCAAAUAAAAACAAUAAACUAGCUCUGUAAGUGGAAACGUAAGAUCAACAAAAACAAUAUGGUAUCAACAAUAAUUUUAUACUACUACUACUACUACUAAUAAUAAUAAUAAUAAUAAUAAUUCAUUUGUAUCCCACCCUAUCUCCCAUGGGGACUCAGGCCGGCUUCCAACAUAGUAACAGGCAAACAUUCAAUGCCUAUAUAAACAAUGCAGAGCUAGAUAUACAUCUAUAAUUAUAUAUACAGUAGAGUCUCACUUAUCCAACACUAGCUUAUCCAACGUUCUGGAUUAUCCAACGCAUUUUUGUAGUCAAUGUUUUCAAUACAUCGUGAUAUUUUGGUGCUAAAUUUGUAAAUACAGUAAUUACUACAUAGUAUUACUGCAUAUUGAACUACUUUUUCUUUCAAAUUUGUUGUAUAACAUGAUGUUUUGGUGCUUAAUUUGUAAAAUCAUAACCUAAUGUGAUGUUCAAUAGGCUUUUCCUUAAUCCCUCCUUAUUAUCCAACAUAUUCACUUAUCCAGCAUUCUGCUGGCCCGUUUAUGUUGGAUAAGUGAGACUACUGUAAUUCAUUUGUAUCCCACCCUAUCUCCCAUGGGGACUCAGGCCGGCUUCCAACAUAGUAACAGGCAAACAUUCAAUGCCUAUAUAAACAAUGCAGAGCUAGAUAUACAUCUAUAAUUAUAUAUACUAAUUUCACAUAUGCAUUUAAUGAUUUAAUCAGAGUUGAACAGUCAUAUCUUAAAUUACAGUUUGAUGUAAAGAUUCAAAAACAUGUAAACUACUGAUUCCUCAAUUAAUGUAAUUUUAUUGGUAUCUCGGCUUAUACUGGAGUCAAUGUUUUCCCAGUUUUUUUUCUGGUAAAAUUAGGUGCCUCGGCUUAUAUUCGGGUCGGCUUAUACUCGAGUAUAUAUGGUAUUAUAUAUUAUUAUAUUGUUAUAGUGACACAGGAGACAUGGUGGAAUGAUGUCUUCCUGUCUGCUUCUUCAUUCUGGCUCAGAGCUCCUUUGACGCAUCAGGAAUUGGUCUUUGGAGUGUUUUCAAAGCCGGAGGUCCCAUGUUAAAGUCUUCCUGAUUUCCAUGUCUGCUAAGACCACCUACCCAUUCAUUACCUCCCAGUACAGUCUUGAUAUAUAAAACAGGAUCCCGAGGACUAGGAGGAGGAUAAGCAAUAUGGGGCCACAUACUUCGCUCCUGCUUCUUAAAGGGUGCAGUUGAUAUCAGAUCAAAAUGCCAUUACUAUUCCUUUUGCACCAGCCCUUCUGUCACCAUUCAUCAUCGCGUCAGCUUUCGACCUGGCACUGGCAGCUGUUUCCGAAAAAGGACCCAAUUUCAUGCAAAUGAGGGCUUUGCACUCCCUUCUUGAAUGUGCAAACACACAUGCUCUCUCUAUCACACACUCACACACACACCCACAGCAAUCAAUCUGUCAAGUGGCCACAGCUUAUGCGCCCAUUCCAUACUCACUGGUGCAAAGCACACAGACUGAUAGAAUGCCUGAUGUUCUCCCAAAAAGAAAGAAUACAGUGUUCCCUCACUUAUCGAUGGGUUUAGGUUCCAGGUUCAAAUCCAGAGAGCGGAGUGAGCGCCUGCUGUUAAGCUCCAGCUUCUGCCAACCUAGUCGAAAACAUGCCAACGUGAGUAGAUCAAUAGGUACCGCUCCGGUGGGAAGGUAAUGGCACUCCAUGCAAUCAUGCCAAUGGCCACAUGACCUUGGAGGUGUCUACGGACAAUGCCAACUCUUCGGCUUAGAAAUGGAGAUGAGCACCAACCCCCAGAGUCGGACACGACUGGACUUAACGUCAGGGGAAACCUUUACCUUUUUACCUUACAUUAUUUUAAAAAUAAAUAUAGUGUCCCUACUUCGCGGAUUGUCACUUAUUGCGGAAAAUAUAUUUUAAUACUGUAUUUAUACAUUAUUUUAAGGGGCCCCUGGUGGCACAGUGCGUUAAAGCGCUGAGCUGCUGAACUUGCAAACUGAAAGGUCCCAGGUUCAAAUCCGGGGAGUGGAGUGAGCAUCCGCUGUUAAGCUCCAGCUUCUGCCAACCUAGCAGUUCGAAAACAUGCCAAUGUGAGUAGAUCAAUAGGUACCGCUCCAGCGGGAAGAUAACGGCGUUCCAUGCAGUCAUGUCAGCCACAUGACCUUGGAGGUGUCUACGGACAACGCCGGCUCUUUGGCUUAGAAAUGGAGAUGAGCACCAACCCCCAGAGUCAGACACGACUGGACUUAACGUCAGGGGAAACCUUUACCUUUACCUUAUACAUGGAAAAGUUGGAAGGAGCUAGCCAUGUUCUGCUCCAUGAAGAGGACUGAGAAGGGACAUGGGAUCAUUCUUUAAAUAGCUCAUAGGCUGUCACAGAGGGUAGCACCAGGCUUGUAGUUAUAGGAGAGUAGAUUUUGAUUGAACAUUUGAAGGAACUUUUUGACAGUAGGUGUGGUUCAGCAGUGGAACCAAUUUCCUAAGGAGGUGAACUUUUUCAAAAGACCUUGGACAGUUCCCUGUUGUGGAUACUUUGGCUGGAAAUCCUGCCUUGAGCAAGGAGGCUGCACUCGCGCCCAUGAGCUCUGUUACAACUCUGUCAUUCUGAGAUUUUAAGCUGUCUUACACUGCAGUGGACCACUUGCCUGUCUUGCUCAGUAUUCUGUGCAUCGGCCAGCAGUGAUUCUCCAGAGUUUCUUGACAGAAAUCUUUCUCAGCCCAGCCUUUCUCAGCGUCUGCAUGCAAAGGAGUUGCCCUCCCACUGAGUUGCAACCUGUUUGCAGCCAUUCCUGCGCUUCUUUCUUCCGCAAUCAGAUAGGGGGUAAUGGGACUGUAGGACAACCAAGAUCUCUAUAAAUCUCAAUUGAAUCAGUGAGGUCUUAUGCUCGACAGCAUCCGGCUCACCCAGUUCUUGCCAGGUGGAGCCUGCACCUGCCUUAGGAUCCUAUAUCUUCCUGGAAUUUCAUUUCGCUGCUCCCAAUCUGCUUUUCGAUGAGGAGUUCAUCCAGGAAUGCAUAUAGAUAAAUCCCCGGUGACUUGCAGUGUUUUUAUGCUAUACAGUUCUGUGGAACUACCGUAUAUACUCGAAGAUAAGCCGAGUUUUUCAGCCCUUUUUAUUUUAGCUGAAAAAGCCUCCCUUGGCUUAUAAUGGGGUCAAGAUCAACAGAACCUGGAGGACAUUGCUUGCAAUAUAUGAUAUAUAUGUAUCUCUCUUAUCCUCCCUUAGCAGUGUUUAGUUUUCCAAAGCCUCCCUCGCUCUUAACCAAGGGAAUGUUUUGAAAAGGUAGAGAAGCCCUUGCAAGUCAGGAAGAAGAAAAUAUAUAUCCAUUAAUCUUAUAAAAGCAUUUUCCCCUGAAAUAUUGGUUAAACUCUCCUACAGAUAGGCAUUAACCCCCCUGCAUGCAUUUGCAAUCCCUAUGUAUUUAUAUACCUGUAUCUAUCUAGCUAUAUACAUUAAUUUUAUAUAUGAAUUUUCCCCUCAUAUCUUUGCAGGUCUUUGCAAAUCCUAUAUACAUAUAGAUCCAUGUAUCUGUAUAUCUGUAUCUGUAUAUAUACAUUAUUUAACCCACUGAUGCCUUGAUUAAUGUAAUUUUAUUGGUAUCUAUUUUUAUUUUGAAAUUGACGAGUAGCUGCUUCAUUUCCCACCCUCGGCUUAUACUCGAGAAUAUACGGUAAGUAUUUUGGCUUUAUCUUACAGAACCCUCACAUUUGUAGUUUGGUGAGCAGCUUAAAGUUUUACAUAGAUGAGCAUUAGAGCUCCCUAGUAAAGAAUUCGUGACCAAACUACAAAUCCAAAGCUUCCUUAGAUUUAUGCAUUGGCAGUGAAAAUAGUAUGAAACUGUUGUAACUGUCUAGUGUAGGUGUACUCUAAGGAGCCCCAAAUAGAUGACUUGUGAGUAGAUUCUAGUAGUGGGUGGCAUGUGUAAAAAUUUGCUAGCAUAGUGAUGGGCUUUUGAGAAGGAGAUGCUGGAAAUGGUGCGUGUAUGGUACGAGGGUUAUCCAGAAAGUAGAUUACGUUUUGGAAUUAAAAAUGAACAAAGUAUAGGAGAAAACAUUUACCAUAUGCAGUUGAAAGCCAUACCCAAAUACCACUUCUCAACAUAGUCCCCAUUGAAAUCUAGGCACUUAUCAUAGCGAUGAAGGAGCUUGGCAACUCCUUCCCAACAAAACUCUGCUGCUUGCGCCCUCAAAAAGUAUAGGAGAAAACAUUUACCAUAUGCAGUUGAAAGCCACACCCAAAUACCACUUCUCAACAUAGUCGCCAUUCAAAUCUAGGCACUUAUCAUAGCGAAGAAUGAGCCUGGCAACUCCUUCCCCACAAAACUCUGCCGCUUGCGUCCUCAACCAGCCGGUCACCCCUUUUCGCAGUUGCGCAGCGUCGCCAAAACGCUGCAUUGUCAGCCACCCUCCCCAUUGUUGGAAUGAGGAUGAAGAAACAACUCCCACCCAAAGACUCCAAAAGAUCCCCACACGGAGGGUCGCACACGUGAAGUUCUGGAGUCUUUUGGGUGAGAGUUGUUAGCCCCAGCUUCUACCAACCUAGCAGUUUGAAAACAUGCAAAUGUGAGUAGAUAAAUAGGUACCACUCCGGCGGGAAGGUAAUAAUGCUCCAUGCAGUCAUGCCACUGGCCUCAUGACCUUGGAGGUGUCUAUGGACAACGUCGGCUCUUCGGCUUAGAAAUGGAGAUGAGCACCAACCCCCAGGUCGGACACGACUGGACUUAAUGUCACCGGCAUUUUCCUGGCAUUUCCUUAUGGGUGCCUAAAUACCUCCCAGUAUUUAUCUAUUCACAUUUUUCUUUUGAACCACUAGGUAGGUGAAAGCUGGGCUAAAGGCUAGGAUCUCACCCUGACUCAAGCUUCGAACUGUCAACCUUUCGACUAAUAAACCAACAUUUCAGCUGGUAGUUUAACCUGCUGUGCUAAAGCCUGGCCCCAAAGAUAACUGCUCAAGACUGUGUGGAAGGGGCUGGUCCUGAAGCAUUUCUGGAACUGGUUGUAAUAUGAUUUUAUUUAUUUAUUUACAGCAUUUAUAUUCCGCCCUUCUUUCUCACCCCGAAGGGGACUCAGGGCAGAUCACAUUGCACACAUAAAGGCAAACAUUCAAUGCCAUAACAUAGAACCGAGGCAAAGACAGACACAGGCUCCGAGCUGGCCUCGAACUCAUGACCUCUUGGUCAGAGUGAUUUGUUGCAGCUGGCUGCUAACUAGCCUGCACCACAGCCCGGCCCAAUGCACAGGUAUGCAUGAGAAGUACUACAGUUGAUAAUGAAAGGCAUGGCAGGGGAUUAGACCACACAGCCCAACUCUGCGAUUCUACGAUUCUGCAUGCAAGGCAGCUGCUAUGGAAAGAUGCAUAUUGCAUGCACUUGAAGGUGUGAAAUGAUGAAACGUGAAGGAAGUCACGACAUCAAGAGCAAGUCAAAGUCAAAGCCACAGCGCAAGGCACAGAAUCUUAUCUCGCCGGCACAGAUACUGCCUGUUGUGUUCCCCUACCAAUACCACUUGCUACGCAGGAGAGCUGGAAGGCACAGGACCAGUGAGCAAAGUGUGAGCAUACACACAUACACACACACACACACACACACAGAAGGCAGACUCAUUGGUAAUAGUGUGCGCACACAACCAAUACAGCAUUCCUAAUUGGCGCAUGGUGUAAAGUGGCAACUCAUUGCCAAAGGAGGUAUUCUCCAGGGAGCAUCCCAAAACAAUAUUGGAACUACAGUAGAGUCUCACUUAUCCAAGCUAAACGGGCCGGCAGAAGCUUGGAUAACCGAAUAUCUUGGAUAAUAUGUAGGGAUUAAGGAAAAGCCUAUUAAACAUCAAAUUAGGUUAUGAUUUUACAAAUUAAGCACCAAAACAUCAGGUUAUAUAACAAAUUUGAGAGAAAAAGUAGUUCAAUACGCAGUCAUGUUAUGUUGUAAUUACUGUAUUUACGAAUUUAGCACCAAAAUAUCAUGAUAUAUUGAAAACAUUGACUACAAAAAUGGCUUGGAUAAUCCAGAAGCUUGGAUAAGCGAGGCUUGGAUAAGUGAGACUCUACUGUAUUUUGGCAGUCUUUAAUUUCCUAUGGCAACUGGUGGCUCCUGCGUCUGAGGAAGUGUAGAAUCUGCUCUGGUUUUCAGUCUGAAUGUUAAUGCAGCUACGUAUAUCCAAGGUGCUUCACAAAAUAGUAUCUGCAUUUUGAACGAAUCAUUGAAGUUGGACUAGAGCUCCAUUUCACUAGUAUGGAAGCUGCCAGAUGUCACUGAUAAGUUUCUAAAGCAAAAACAAGAGGAGUUCAUGUAAAACUUCUCUAUUGCGAAGUCAUUUCCUCAUAAUAGCCCUUACGUGUAGCUUAGUCAUGACUUCGUACCUUCUGUCCUCCUUUCUUCCUUUUUUACUUCCUUGAGUUAAAUUAUGUUGACGAUCGUGCCAUCGCCGCUCAGGCAGGGAGCUUUGAAAUGGUUGAACAGAAGUUCUCUGAAGCUCUAGGUGAUCUUACUGCCUAUUACAGAGAAAGCCAGCUGAUUCCUAAUCCAUCACUAUGCUGACGAUUGUGUCAUCACUGCUCAAGCAGGAAGAUUUGAAAGGGUUGAACAGAAGCUCUCUGAAGCUUUAGGUGCUCUUACUGCCUAUUACAGGGAAAACUAGCUGAUUCCUAAUCCAUCACUGCUCAGAGAGCUUUGAAAUGGUUGGACAGAAACUCUCUGAAGCUCUAGGUGAUCUUACUGCCUAUUACAGGGAAAACUAGCUGAUUCCUAAUCCAUCACUAUACUGACAAUCGUGCCAUCACUGCUCAGGGAGCUUUGAAAUGGUUGAACAGAAGCUCUCUGAAGCUUUAGGUGCUCUUAUUGCCUAUUACAGGGAAAACCAGCUGAUUCCUAAUCCAUGCACACAUGUGCUUUUCACCUUAAGAAUAGACAAGCAUCUCGAGCACCAAGGAUCACCUUGGAAGGAAUCCCAAUGUAUUAAGGGAAGCAAGAAGGAAAAAGUUACAAAAAUGGUACAGAACUCCUUCACAACUUUCACGUUUUUUACCAGGGAUGAAGGAUAAGUGUUGGCACGGUCGUGAACAAAGAGGGGUGUUUAUAUCAUAUGAUAUGGGAGUGCGAUCAAGUGCAAGAAUAUUGGAGAAUGGUUGAAGGAGAAAUCAAUAGAAUGCUAAAUCUACAAAUAGUAAUACAGUAGUCUCAUUUAUCCAACAUAAACGGGCCGGCAGAACAUUGGAUAAGUGAAUAUGUUGGAUAAUAAGGAGGGAUUAAGGAAAAGCCUAUUAAAUAUCAAAUUAGGUCAUGAUUUUACAAAUUAAGCACCAAAACAUCAUGUUACACAACAAGUUUGACAGAAAAGUAGUUCAAUACGCAGUAAUGCUAUGUAGUAAUUACUGUAUUCACGAAUUUAGCACCAAAAUAUCACGAUGUAUUGAAAACAUUGACUACAAAAAUGUGUUGGAUAAUCCAGAACGUUGGAUAAGUGAGUGAUUUUCCAUGGCCAAGUAGAGAUCCGAACCUUGCUCUCCAAAUCCUAAUGUGGUGACUCUUUAUUCUCCCAGCAAACCUACUGGGUUUGUUAGCCGGGGAAGGUGUGACUCUCCCACGGUUCCCUAAAUAUUAUUUGGGAACCAGCCCACAGAUAUGCCAAAUCCCUGCCUGAACUCUAGCAACUACAUACUGUCUCUUGGUACGGAAAUAUAUGUGGUUUCUUUCGUUCUUGACAAGUGUUCUCACCCAUGUGUUUAUUCAGACUCUGAUUGCAGCUAUUAUCAACAAAAAAGCAAAUAUUGAUACAAUGUUCUGAUAUGACAAAGCAGCACAGCAAUGUUUGAAAAAUGGGAAUAAACAACUAGUAAAAUGUUGUAAGCUUUCAUGGCCGGGAUCACUGGGUUGCUGUGAAUUUUCCGGGCUGCGUGGCCAUGUUUCAGAAGCAUUCUCUCCUGACGAAAAUGCCUACAUCUAUGGCAUCAUCAGAGGUCAUGAGGUCUGUUGUGGGGUUUAUAACAGGGCACUUGAUGAACCAACCUGGACACACCAUAUUAUUUGAGAACACAGAAAUGAUGGACCACUCUAACAACCAGAAGCAUUCUCUCCUGACGUUUCACCCACGUCUAUGGCAGGCAUCCUCGGAGGUUGUGAGGUCUGUUGGAAACUAGGCAAGUGGGGUUUAUAGCAUCACAUUUGAUGAAACAACCUGGACACAGCAUAUUAUUUGAGAACACAUAAAUGGUGGACCACUGUAACAACCAGAAGCAUUCUCUCCUGACGUUUCGCCUACAUCUAUGGCAUCAUCAGAGGUUGUGAGGUCUGUUGUGGGGUUUAUAGCAGGGCACUUGAUGAACUAACCUGGACACAUCAUAUUAUUUGAGAACACAGAAAUGAUGGACCACUCACAACCAGAAGCAUUCUCUCCUGAUGUUUCGCCCACAUCUAUGACAGGCAUCCUCAGAGGUCAUGAGGUCUGUUGGAAACUAGGCAAGUGGGGUUUAUAGCAUCACACUUGAUGAAACAACCUGGACACAGCAUAUUAUUUGAGAACACAGAAAUGAUGGACUACUCGAACAACCACCAUGUCAGACUACACAGAGAAGCCACUGAAACCUACAAGCAGGUGGACAAUUUCAACGGAAAGGAGGAAACCAUGAAAAUGAACAAAAUCUGGCUACAGAAAGCACGCUGAAAAAGGAUCCGGCUAUCCUUAAUACAUUGGCAGCUGAGGGGGGUUUGAUAUUUAGCUUGUCAGCCGCUUUAAAAAUAGAAAGAUAGACACUUAGCACAUGCCCAUUAUUAUCCUCUGCUGUUAUUACUGCACAUAUUUUGGAGCUGAGCCAUGGUACCAAGACCUGGAUGAGAUCCAGCUGGAAAGGGAGGAAAAGCAAUAGAGCUUGCACCAAACUUAUUUUUGCUGUCAUAUUCAUACUAGAAAAAGGGAGCUCAUUUGCUCCAAUAUUAACUAUGCAGUGUAACCAUCCCCGGCUUUUAUCUAAAGUUACAGGAACUGACCUAUAGUUUUCCAAAAUAGGCUCUAAUUUAAUGUUUAAUAGGCUUUUCUUUAAUCUCUCCUUAUUAUGCAACAUAUCUGCUUAUCCAACGUUCUGCCGGACCAUUUACGUUGGAUAACCGAGACUACUGUACUACUUUGGUUCAUACAAAGUGCUUAUAUUGUCUAUAUAAAGGCUAUAUGAUAUAUGCAGAGGCAAAGCUAUAUAGGCAAUAGUCUACUAUUUUCUGGCUUAUGGUCCCUACACCAGCUUGGUUGUAGCUGGGGCUAACAGCGGGUGCUCAUUCCUCCAAGGUCAUGUGGCCACUGGCAUGACUGCAUGGAGCGCCGUUACCUUCCCGCCGGAGCGGUACCUAUUGAUCUACUCACAUUGGCAUGUUUUCGAACUGCUAGGUUGGCAGAAGCUGGGGCUAACAGCGGGAGCUCAUUCCUCCAAUGUCAUGUGGCCACUGGCAUGACUGCAUGGAGUGCCGCUACCUUCCCGCCGGAGCAGUACCUAUUGAUCUACUCACAUUUGCAUGUUUUCGAAUUUCUAGGUUGGCAGAAGCUGGGGCUAACAGCAGGUGCUCAUUCCUCUCCCUGGAUUUGAACCUGCGACCUUUUGGUCCACAAGUUCAGCCGCUCAGCGCUUUAACACGCUGUGCCACCGCCCGCCACUCUGAAAAUCCCUAGAGGAGACAUAUUUUGUCAGAUGCAGGUAGAUGAAACUGUGGGCACAAGGGUCGUACUGUAGUUGCUUUUUGUUAUAUGUUUGACUCAGUUUUUAUUCCAUGUAAAUGUUACUCAAUAAAAAUGAUUUUUUUUUAGAAGCAAUAAGGAACCAAAGCUCUGUAGCAAGGAUGAAAGGGGCAUUGAUUUCAGAUGAGAGGUAACUGCGAAGGCGGAGGGGCACCAUCAAAGUUAACCCAGCGUGUGCUGAGAAUGCAGAUUCGCAGAGAGGGAAAUCUGUGACAUCAGCAGCUCGGCCUGGCCUCUCCUUUAAAAAUUGCUCUGCCUGUUUGAACAAGAGAGCCGGCCGAUUUCUUGGCGAGAGGAGUCAAGAUGCCACCAAAAAGACAAGGAAGAAAGGAAUGUGUGGAAGAUAAGAGCAGGUGAUGGAGUGCACGGCGCCGGCGCCGGCGGGGGUUUAAUCUCAGGUCUCCUUCUCCAGGCGACGCAGAGGGUAAUUUUUCUUGGAGAUGAAUGCUGUGCUCUGGCAGCCACCGUCUCCACGUGGCACAGAAUCAACAGGAGGAACAGCAGAAAAGGCCAUGAUAAGCCCGACCUCUGGAUCAAGGGGUUGGACAGACAACUGAAUUAACCACUGGGUUCAUUGCAGUGGUUGGAAUGCCUAUUUAAAACUGCUAUGUGCCUGUAAUGCAGCUAAAUGUAUAGAAAGUUGACCUGAAAGGAAUAAUAAUAAUCUAUCUAUAUAAAAGAGUGAUGGCAUCAGGGCAACCCGCAAAACAACAAAACUACAGGCCCCCCAACCUCGAAAUUUGACAACACAACCCAUCAUUAAUGGCUCUAGGUUGAUACAACAAAAAGAAAAGAAAAAUAAAGUCCUAAUUACACGGAGAGAAAUAAUAGUUUUUAUCCAAUUGCUGCCAGUUUGAAGGCUAAGCUCUACCCACUUGGUCUCCUAGCAACCUACUCAGCCCAGGGGACAGGCACAGUUAGGCCUCACUUAGGCCUCUUCCACAGAUUAUCAGAUUUUAACUGGAUUAUAUGGCAGUGUAGACUCAAGGCCCUUCCACACAGCUAUAUAACCCAUUUAUAAUCUUAUAUUAUUUAUUUAUUAUUUAUUUAUUUACAGUAUUUAUAUUCCACCCUUCUCACCCCGAAGGGGACUCAGGGCGGAUUACAAUGAACACAUAUAUGGUAAACAUUCAAUGCCAACAGACAAACAACAUAUAUAGACAGACUCAGAGGCAUUUUUAACAUUUUUUUCCAGCUUCACGAUUCCGGCCACAGGGGGAGCUGUUGCUUCACUGUCCACUAGUGGCUGUACUUCCUCAUUCCUUUCCUCGUGUUUUGCUGGCAGUUUUUUAUGAUGUUGUAAAUUAGUUAAAUUAGCCUCCCGCAUAAAGCGUACCUAAAUUUCCCUAAUUGACAGAUGCAACUGUCUUUCGGGGCUGCAUAGGUCAACAGCAAGGGUUAUUAUCUGCUUUGCACUGGAUUAUCUUGACUCCACACUGCCAUAUAAUCCACUUCAGUGUGCAUACUAAACAUAAAGACAACCACACAACAGACAUUCAAUACCACCACUACCUCAACAAUUUCUCACCAACACCACCAGACAACACCACAGCAACGCGUGGCCGGGCACAGCUAGUGAUUCUAUAUAAAAAUGUCAUGUACAUUUGUAGGACUGAGUAAACAACAAAACCACUGAACCAAAUCACACCAAAUUUGGCCACAAAAGACAGCCAACCAAUCUAUGUCUUUCAAACAAACAAAAAAACCCUGGAAAAUAAAGUCCAAAUUAGAGAAAGAGGAAGAGCUAUUUUCAACCCUGGUUGCUGAUCAGAAGGGUAGGCCCCGCCCCCUUUAGGCCCUGCCCACUUCAUCUCCUAGCAACCCCCUCGGUCACAAUGGCACCAGGGUACAGCCAGAGUUCAGGCUUUUUAGGCUGCAAGGCUAUUCAUUACUAUUCCACUCGGCCAACAAAGCAUUCCCAUAAGCCACAGCAAUGCGUGGCCGGGCACAGUUAAUAAUAAUAAUAAUAAUAAUAAUAAUAAUAAUAAUAAUAAUAAUAAUAAUAGAUCUGUCAACUGCAAAAGGCCACCCUACUGGGAUCUGCGCGCAUCAUCCAAAAAUACAUCACACAGUCCUAGACACUUGGGAAGUGUUCGACUUGUGAUUUUGUGAAACGAAAUACAGCAUAUCUAUCUUGUUUGCUGUGUCAUACAAUAUAAUAAUAAUAAUAAUAAUAAUAAUAAUAAUAAUAAUAAUAAUAAUAAUAAAAAACAAGAAAAACUCAGCCGCUAUCAGGACCUCAAAAUUGAACUGCAAAGAUUGAACUGCGGGCCCGGGCUGUGGCGCAGGCAGGAGAGCAAGCCAGCUGCAACCAGCUGCAAUGAAUCACUCUGACCAGGAGGUCAUGAGUUCGAGGCCCGCUCGGAGCCUAUGUUUGUCUUGUCUUUGUUCUAUGUUAAAGGCAUUGAAUGUUUGCCUAUAUGUGUAAUGUGGUCUGCCCUGAGUCCCCUUCGGAGUGAGAAGGGCAGAAUAUAAAUGCUGUAAAUAAAUAAAUAAUAAAUAAAGACUUUGGUAGAAACCAGUACAGGUGGUCCUGGUGGUGAUGGGCACAUUGGGUGCCGUGUCAAAAGAUCUCAGCCAGCAUUUGGAAACAAUAGACAUUGACAAAAUUACAAUCUGCCAACUGCAAAAGGCCACCCGACUGAAAUCUGCGCGCAUCAUCCGAAAAUACAUCACAGAGUCCUAAACGCUUGGGAAGUGUUCGACUUGUGAUUUUGUGAUACAAAAUCCAGCAUAUCUAUCUUGUUUGCUGUGUCAUACAAUGUCGUUGUGUCAAUAAUAAUAAUAAUAAUAAUAAUAAUAAUAAUAAUAAUAGGAAGUGUCCGAGGUGUGAUCCAAUACAACAGCCAGCAGAGUGUCUGUUGUGGACUCAUCUUGUUGGGAUGCCUUAGCAUUGAACGGUUGUGUUGUUAAAGUGCGCAGUAUGGAACCCUGCGCAGACGGGGAAGCCUUAGCAUUGAACAGUUGUGUUGUUAAAGUGUGAAGUAGGGAACCCAGCAUAUCUAUCUUGUUUGCUGUGUCAUACAAUGUCGUUGUGUCAUUAAUAAUAAUAAUAAUAAUAAUAAUAAUAAUAAUAAUAAUAAAAACUUUACUUCUAGACUGCCCUCUAUUCCCAGAGGGACUCAGGGUGGUUAACAUACAUAUAAACGGCAAACUUUCAAUGCCACGACUACUUCACUAAUAUCAAAAGUAUAAAAUGACAAUAACAUACACGUUUUCAUAAAAAUCCCACAUUAAAAAAAUAUAUAUAUUUAAACAGUCAGUAAAAAUAUUAUUGCACAGAGCGAGUGUAUACCUGGACCGAUUUAAGUGACCAAGUUGCUGAAAAUGUUCAGUCACUUGGACCAUAGCUGCUAUGGAGUGGGACUGAGAGUAGGGCCUCCUCCGCUGACCGAAGUGCCCGAGAUGGUCGAUACAGGGAGAUGCGAUUUGACAAAUAGCCUGGACCUGAGCUGUUUAGGGCUUUAUAGGUAACAACCAGCUCUUUGUAUUUAGCUCAGAAACAGACCGGCAGCCAGUGGAGCUGCUGCAGCAUGGGAGUGGUUCUCUCCCUGUUAGUACCUGGCUGCCGAUCGCUGAACUAGCUGUAGUUUCCAAACUAUCUUCAAAGGAAUCGUUUUAAAAAUAAAAUGAUGUGGGUGGGGGAAAGGAAUCGAAUGAAGGCGGGGAGAGAGAGAGAGAGAGAAGCUUCAGGAGGCUUUUCCUUUGAAUGAUCUUGAACCUUGCAACCAUCCUGACGGUAACUCUUCUUUCCUCCUGGCACGGCUGGCUGAGCGUAUGUCAGGCGUAAUUGCCAGCUGCACUCGUUGGGGGGUAAUUUAGCUCAAGCAGCAACUGCAUCUUUACACCGUGGGGUUGUAUUGUGAUGCAGGCUUUUGUUUCUGAUUUCUCCAGCAGUUUGCUGCCAGGAAAAGAGGUGGGCAGCAGCAGAGAUGGAAGAGAGAAGUGUCUGCUUUGGUUCAUAGUGGAUUCCUCUUCUCUGAAAGCCCGAAUGCUGCUUUGGAAAUCUUCAAACAUGUGUGCAUACUGUUAAUGUGGGAUUUGUGUUUAUAGUGUUUAAAUGCAAUUUGUGCCAUGCUUGUAUUGCAACUGAUUGCAUCAUCCAGAAUGUACCAUAGUGUGGAAAGAGUUAAUUGCCAAGAAGCUAUGAUGAACUUGAUGUGUGGCUGGAACUAGGGAGUAUCCAGACACAAGUGUUUGUGCAUAACGAUUGCAUCAGUUCAGUUCAAUUCAGUUGAGUUCUGUCUGCCUAGAGUUCGAGUCAAGUUCUGUUGGAGAACAGAACAGUCCUGUGUUCAUCUGUCGUCUGCAAGUCUGUUUGUGUUGAAUACUGCUGCAUACAGUAAAACUUUGUAAAUAGUUUUA
Molecule: long non-coding RNA, 19634 nt
Organism: Anolis carolinensis (green anole)
Lineage: Eukaryota; Metazoa; Chordata; Lepidosauria; Squamata; Anolidae
Exons: 2
Source: RefSeq, a predicted model, not a curated record